CAAGUCGAACGGACGAUCAGGGCUUGCUCUGAUCGUUAGUGGCGGACGGCUGAGUAACGCGUAGGUGACCUACCCCGAAGUGGGGAAUAACUGCCCGAAAGGGUGGCUAAUACCGCAUGUGGUGGUGUGUUCGAUCACACCAGUAAAGCCGCAAGGCGCUACGGGAGGGGCCUGCGUCCGAUUAGCUCGUUGGUGGGGUAACGGCUCACCAAGGCGACGAUCGGUAGGUGGUCUGAGAGGACGAUCACCCAGACUGGGACUGAGACACGGCCCAGACUCCUACGGGAGGCAGCAGUCGGGAAUUUUGCGCAAUGGACGAAAGUCUGACGCAGCAACGCCGCGUGAGGGAUGAAGGCCUUCGGGUUGUAAACCUCUUUUGUCAGGGAAGAUGAUGACGGUACCUGUCGAAUAAGCCACGGCUAACUACGUGCCAGCAGCCGCGGUAAUACGUAGGUGGCAAGCGUUGUCCGGAUUUACUGGGCGUAAAGAGCGCGCAGGCGGUCGUCCAAGUCGCGUGUGAAAGCCCCCGGCUCAACUGGGGAGGGUCACGCGAUACUGGUCGACUCGAAGGCAGGAGAGGGUAGUGGAAUUCCCGGUGUAGUGGUGAAAUGCGUAGAUAUCGGGAGGAACACCAGUGGCGAAGGCGACUACCUGGCCUGUUCUUGACGCUGAGGCGCGAAAGCUAGGGGAGCAAACGGGAUUAGAUACCCCGGUAGUCCUAGCCGUAAACGAUGGACACUAGGUGUUGGUGGUAUCAACCCCGCCGGUGCCGAAGCUAACGCAUUAAGUGUCCCGCCUGGGGAGUACGGCCGCAAGGCUAAAACUCAAAGGAAUUGA
This 837-nucleotide ribosomal RNA is filed under the name uncultured Bacillota bacterium. Its description in RNAcentral is "bacterial SSU rRNA". It matches the Rfam family "Bacterial small subunit ribosomal RNA", at positions 58 to 913 of the family's 1533-position model. The record is from RNAcentral. Lineage: Bacteria; Bacillati; Bacillota.